AGGAACACAACUACUGCUUGUACAGAACAGAAGGUGCUGAACGGAGCAAACGGCGGCAGGUGGCAGGGAGAUGAACCCCUCAUCGACGCUGGCUACAUUCUCUUCCACGCCGAUCUUCAAGUCUUCUCAUGCACACCAAGAGUUUUGAUCGGAAAUACUGAAGGGGAAAUCGGGAGCAUCUGGUGUUUCCUGUCUUUGGCGGUCCAUUUCCGGUCCCAUCUCUGGUGUUAGACCGGACCACGGACCGGAUCACACCCAGCAACGUGGCGCUGAUCCUCCUUGAAUCCCUGGAAUCCGGCCUGUGGAGCAGCUCGGUGCUGUUGGGGCGUCGCGGCGUCCCAUUCGGGGGACGGUCGCAGGCAAUCGUAAACAACCGCAAAUUCCCAGCCUUCAGUUUGCAGAGAAACUGGUUGGAGUUUGUGGCUGUUUGAACAGUGAAGUCUGUCUCUGUAAGUUUGCUCCAGACAGAAGUGAUGACCUUUGACCUGCUGCGCACAAGAAGGUCGGGACCUUUGGGAGCUUCAGACUCGGCAGCUUCCAGCUGGAGCUGAUCAACGCCGGCGUGUUGCAGGAAAUGAAGAUUAAAGCCACUAAAUCACAGCCACUCCAGCGCCGGCACAAAACAAACAGCGAGGGCUGCUUUCAAGUGUCCGAGCCGGCGAGCGGCGUGAAGCGCCUCCCCUCAAAUGUUGCGGUGAGAGAGGAAGAAGGUGAUGAA
Synchiropus splendidus (mandarinfish) is the source of this 718-nucleotide long non-coding RNA. RefSeq lists it as uncharacterized. The transcript is spliced from 4 exons. Lineage: Eukaryota; Metazoa; Chordata; Actinopteri; Syngnathiformes; Callionymidae. The record is from RefSeq and is a predicted model, not a curated record.